GUAGUAUUUGCAUAGUAUUUUAAUUAGUAGGACAAAACAUGCUAGUUGAUGAGAACUCUUCAACAUUUGUAAAAUAAGGACUUGUAACUUCCUCUCCAAGAUGACAUUACUCCAGAAACCCCUAAAGGUAUGUCAUAUGUGUAUUUGCUUCAUAUGCAUAGAAUGAGCUUCAACAACCUCCCUUGUAUGUUAUGACAAAGUCAAUGGUAUAUAAAUGACUUAAAUAUGAAUAUGUUUCUAUAAAUUAUAUGUCUUUGUAGUUUGACCUGCUACUGGUUCCAUAUUCCAUCUACAUAAAAAUGUAGCCCAACAUGGGGAGACUCUUCCUGUUGAGCAAAUGAUAACCUGUUUAUAUUUAUAUCCCUAUCCCACCACUGAGCCCUUGAUCCAAGAGCUAAUUCCCUGAAUCGUCCAAAUCCAAAUCCACGAUGGAGUGGGAGUGAACAUAUUUAGAUGCAGCCAGACAGACAGUUUCAAUUUUGAGGCAAACAGACAGAAAAUGGGGCGUCGUAAGGUCUGGUUGGAGAGAGGCUGGAGAAACGUCUCCUGCCCACGGUGUGUGCGAGAGGUCAAGUUGAGUGGCCCCAGGGUCACCCGUGUGCCACUUGUGUGUUUCCCGGUAGCCUCGCCUGGAGCGGCGGUCGGGCGCGGCUGACGUCACCCACCCAGCCUCCGUAAUUGAAAGAGACGUUAAUCCAACUCCUCCCCCAAAGCCUGGCUAAGGGUGGGAGGGUACGAUGUGGGGAGCGACGGACAGAGAGAGAAAGAGUGGGAGCCGGAGUGGAUGGCAGUCGGUUCAUCGCAGACAAAGCGAGGCUGGAGCAGGCUUUCUAAUGGGGCUUGCACCUCCUGUGUCCUGUCCCUGGAUAAGGGCCCCUCCACCCGAGCCUCAACCUGGAGGCCAGCGGCCUGCCUGGGGGAUCUGAGGAGGGGGGAAGGUUUAGGACCUGCAGCCCUCCUCCUGCACCUCCUCUUGAUUUAGCCAUACUUGUUGCGGAGGUACCCGACUUCACCAAUGUUGAGCUGUGUUCGGGUGAAGAGCAUUUCUACAUGCCCUCGAUAGAAGGGUAAGACAUGAUUGCAUUAUCUCUCUCUCUCUCUCUCUCUCUCUCUCUCUCUCUCUGAAAGAAAGUGUGCUAAUGGGUGCAUUUGCUGGUCAUUUCCUUUCCUUUCCACCCAGGCCCACUGUUGUUACUGGUACUAUAACUAUUCUCUCUGUACUUCAACCGGUCUCAACCAGAGGAAGAAUCUAUAGGGGGAGUACACUCUUGAUUCAUGCAGAUGUCCCCAGUAAAGAAACACAGCCAUAGUUUGGUCAUCUAAUACAGUGAAGCGACAGGUAUGUGUGAGUGUGUGAAUUGACCUGUGUGAGUAAGUGGAAGGCUUAAGGUCACUGCAGCUCUGAUACUGCCCGUCUCAUAAGAUCCAAAACGCCAUUACGAGGCUACCAUGUGCAGCACAUGAUAUUUUUUGUCAAACUCCACGGGCUUACUGACAGCUCUUUUAGGUGGUUUAGUUCUGUGAAGUAAAAAGUCAGCAUCACAUCAUUUAUUGCAUAAUAUUGAGAAAUAAAAACCACAA
This is a long non-coding RNA of Gadus morhua (Atlantic cod), 1581 nucleotides long. The record is from Ensembl. NCBI's taxonomy places the organism in Eukaryota, Metazoa, Chordata, Actinopteri, Gadiformes, Gadidae.